RNAcentral lists this ribosomal RNA (378 nucleotides) under uncultured bacterium. Its description in RNAcentral is "bacterial SSU rRNA". It matches the Rfam family "Bacterial small subunit ribosomal RNA", at positions 521 to 895 of the family's 1533-position model. The record is from RNAcentral.
UAAUACGUAGGGGGCGAGCGUUGUCCGGAUUUAUUGGGCGUAAAGAGCUCGUAGGCGGCUUGGCAAGUCGGGUGUGAAAACUUCAGGCUUAACCUGGAGAUUGCACUCGAUACUGCUAUGGCUAGAGUCCGGUAGGGGACCACGGAAUUCCUGGUGUAGCGGUGAAAUGCGCAGAUAUCAGGAGGAACACCGGUGGCGAAGGCGGUGGUCUGGGCCGGCACUGACGCUGAGGAGCGAAAGCGUGGGGAGCAAACAGGAUUAGAUACCCUGGUAGUCCACGCCGUAAACGUUGGGUACUAGGUGUGGGGCCUUAUCAACGGGUUCCGUGCCGCAGCUAACGCAUUAAGUACCCCGCCUGGGGAGUACGGCCGCAAGGCU